UUUGCUGUUCCAGAAAUAUUUGACCAUUUGACUUUUCAGAAUCUGGUGACCCAUCUCUGGUGUUAGGAGACAGCAGCCAGCUCCAGUCUUCUCCACCCUCCUCUGGCUCUGCCUGGGUUAUCAAAGGAAAGGCUCCGAUCAUCCUGUCCACCCUCCCAGCUGCUGGAAGUCCCUGUCCCAGCUGGAAUCUUCUCCCUCAUCUUACCUGGUUCCCCAGCCAGUGUCCUAUGGACUGGGUAGCCGGGGAACCAUUUCUGCCCUUUAUUCACA
Gopherus evgoodei (Goodes thornscrub tortoise) is the source of this 270-nucleotide long non-coding RNA. RefSeq lists it as uncharacterized. The transcript is spliced from 3 exons. The record is from RefSeq and is a predicted model, not a curated record. NCBI's taxonomy places the organism in Eukaryota, Metazoa, Chordata, Testudines, Testudinidae.